Molecule: ribosomal RNA, 301 nt
Filed under: uncultured bacterium
Lineage: Bacteria
Description: partial 16S ribosomal RNA
Rfam family: Bacterial small subunit ribosomal RNA
Source: RNAcentral
CAGCAGCCACGGGAAUACGGAGGGUGCAAGCGUUAAUCGGAAUUACUGGGCGUAAAGCGCACGCAGGCGGUCUGUCAAGUCAGAUGUGAAAUCCCCGGGCUUAACCUGGGAACUGCAUUUGAAACUGGCAGGCUAGAGUCUUGUAGAGGGGGGUAGAAUUCCAGGUGUAGCGGUGAAAUGCGUAGAGAUCUGGAGGAAUACCGAUGGCGAAGGCAAUCCCCUGGGCCUGCACUGACGCUCAUGCACGAAAGCGUGGGGAGCAAACAGGAUUAGAUACCCGAGUAGUCCCUGUCUCUUAUAC